This 253-nucleotide ribosomal RNA is filed under the name uncultured bacterium. Its description in RNAcentral is "partial 16S ribosomal RNA". It matches the Rfam family "Bacterial small subunit ribosomal RNA", at positions 524 to 776 of the family's 1533-position model. The record is from RNAcentral.
UACAGAGGUCUCAAGCGUUGUUCGGAUUCAUUGGGCGUAAAGGGUGCGUAGGCGGCGCGGUAAGUCGGAUGUGAAAUCUCGGAGCUUAACUUCGAAACUGCAUUCGAUACUGCCGUGCUUGAGGACUGGAGAGGAGACUGGAAUUCCUGGUGUAGCGGUGAAAUGCGCAGAUAUCAGGAGGAACACCGAUGGCGAAGGCAGGUCUCUGGGCCACUACUGACGCUGAGAAGCGAAAGCAUGGGGAGCGAACAGG